This 492-nucleotide ribosomal RNA is filed under the name uncultured bacterium. RNAcentral's name for it is "partial 16S ribosomal RNA". It matches the Rfam family "Bacterial small subunit ribosomal RNA", at positions 29 to 507 of the family's 1533-position model. The record is from RNAcentral.
AGUGAACGCUGGCGGUAGGCCUAACACAUGCAAGUCGAACGGCAGCACAGUGAGAGCUUGCUCUUACGGGUGGCGAGUGGCGGACGGGUGAGGAAUACAUCGGAAUCUACUUUUUCGUGGGGGAUAACGUAGGGAAACUUACGCUAACACCGCACACGACCUACGGGUGAAAGCAGGGGAUCUUCGGACCUUGCGCGAUUGAAUGAGCCGAUGUCGGAUUAGCUAGUUGGCGGGGGAAAGGCCCACCAAGGCGACGAUCCGUAGCUGGUCUGAGAGGAUGAUCAGCCACACUGGAACUGAGACACGGUCCAGACUCCUACGGGAGGCAGCAGUGGGGAAUAUUGGACAAUGGGCGCAAGCCUGAUCCAGCAAUACCGCGUGGGUGAAGAAGGCCUUCGGUUUGUAAAGCCCUUUUGUUGGGAAAGAAAAGCAGCAGGUUAAUACCCCGCUGUUCUGACGGUACCCAACGAAUAAGCACCGGCUAACUUCGUG